RNAcentral lists this transfer RNA (70 nucleotides) under Symplana brevistrata. Its description in RNAcentral is "tRNA-Trp". The record is from RNAcentral. Lineage: Eukaryota; Metazoa; Arthropoda; Insecta; Hemiptera; Lophopidae.
AAGGAUUUAAGUUAAAUAAACUACUAACCUUCAAAGUUAAAAUUGUAUAAUAAUAUGUGUAUAAGCCUUA